This 243-nucleotide unclassified non-coding RNA is filed under the name fungal sp. Its description in RNAcentral is "partial internal transcribed spacer region". The stretch from base 1 to 46 matches the Rfam family "Eukaryotic small subunit ribosomal RNA", at positions 1786 to 1831 of the family's 1831-position model. The record is from RNAcentral. Lineage: Eukaryota; Fungi.
AAGUCGUAACAAGGUUUCCGUAGGUGAACCUGCGGAAGGAUCAUUAACAGAUUCUGCCAGUCAGAUAUCUUACCCCGUGUGAACUGUUCUUUAGACUUGGUGUCCAAGCUCUGGACCACCCUUGAGACCUGUCUCGAGGGUGGUCUAAGACUAGGCACCAUCAUUUUUAUUACCCACUAAAUUUUGAUACCGAGUAAACCACAAAAGACUAGAAAACUUUUAGCAACGGAUCUCUAGGCUCUU